AUUGAACGCUGGCGGCAGGCCUAACACAUGCAAGUCGAGCGGAUGAAGGGAGCUUGCUCCUGGAUUCAGCGGCGGACGGGUGAGUAAUGCCUAGGAAUCUGCCUGGUAGUGGGGGAUAACGUCCGGAAACGGGCGCUAAUACCGCAUACGUCCUGAGGGAGAAAGUGGGGGAUCUUCGGACCUCACGCUAUCAGAUGAGCCUAGGUCGGAUUAGCUAGUUGGUGGGGUAAAGGCCUACCAAGGCGACGAUCCGUAACUGGUCUGAGAGGAUGAUCAGUCACACUGGAACUGAGACACGGUCCAGACUCCUACGGGAGGCAGCAGGGGGGAAUAUUGGACAAUGGGCGAAAGCCUGAUCCAGCCAUGCCGCGUGUGUGAAGAAGGUCUUCGGAUUGUAAAGCACUUUAAGUUGGGAGGAAGGGCAGUAAGUUAAUACCUUGCUGUGUUGACGUUACCAACAGAAUAAGCACCGGCUAACUUC
Molecule: ribosomal RNA, 481 nt
Filed under: uncultured bacterium
Lineage: Bacteria
Description: partial 16S ribosomal RNA
Rfam family: Bacterial small subunit ribosomal RNA
Source: RNAcentral